This 450-nucleotide ribosomal RNA is filed under the name uncultured bacterium. RNAcentral describes it as "bacterial SSU rRNA". It matches the Rfam family "Bacterial small subunit ribosomal RNA", at positions 355 to 796 of the family's 1533-position model. The record is from RNAcentral.
UGAGGAAUAUUGCGCAAUGGGCGAAAGCCUGACGCAGCGACGCCGCGUGGAGGAUGAAGGUUUUCGGAUUGUAAACUCCUGUUAAGUGGGAAGAAAUUCCUGUCUCUAAUACAGACGGGAGAUGACGGUACCAUUAGAGAAAGCACCGGCUAACUUCGUGCCAGCAGCCGCGGUAAUACGAGGGGUGCGAGCGUUAUUCGGAUUUAUUGGGCGUAAAGGGUGCGUAGGCGGCAUAUUAAGUCAGCUGUUAAAUUUCCUGGCCUAACCAGGAGCUUGCGGUUGAUACUGAUGUGCUAGAGGAUGGAAGAGAGAAGUGGAAUUCUCGGAGUAGCGGUAAAAUGCGUAGAUCUCGAGAGGAACACCGAUGGCGAAGGCAGCUUCUUGGUCCAUAUCUGACGCUGAGUGCACGAAAGCGUGGGGAGCAAACAGGAUUAGAUACCCCCGUAGUCC